CAGCCGCCGCGGUAAUACAGAGGGUGCGAGCGUUAAUCGGAUUUACUGGGCGUAAAGCGUGCGUAUGCGGCUUCUUAAGUCGGAUGUGAAAUCCCUGAGCUUAACUUAGGAAUUGCAUUCGAUACUGGGAAGCUAGAGUAUGGGAGAGGAUGGUAGAAUUCCAGGUGUAGCGGUGAAAUGCGUAGAGAUCUGGAGGAAUACCGAUGGCGAAGGCAGCCAUCUGGCCUAAUACUGACGCUGAGGUACGAAAGCAUGGGGAGCAAACAGGAUUAGAGACCCCCGUAGUCCCUGUCUCUUAUAC
Molecule: ribosomal RNA, 301 nt
Filed under: uncultured bacterium
Lineage: Bacteria
Description: partial 16S ribosomal RNA
Rfam family: Bacterial small subunit ribosomal RNA
Source: RNAcentral